CCCCUUUUUGUGAAGCUUAUUAAUUAUAAGUUGUUUGUUGUAGCGAAUCGUACAAUCUUCCGUGUAAUUGUCGAACAAUUGUCAAGCUGGAGCUAAUAAAUACGUAUGUUGGAGUCAAUGUGUACGAAGGCUCGACUAUUUAUGUAGUUGGAGACUACACGGGGGCUGCCACCGCUAAAGCUCUAUCGCCCAUGGUCUUUUUAGUUUUAAAAAUUGGUGGCUGUAAUAAAUGCUCAUUGCUAGAGAGUAAACCACACCUAGAGGGCUCUCUGAUCUUAAUCAAUGAAGAAAUGUAUACUGGAGCGUUUCCAUGUGUAUCUUUAAAAGUAAUAACUCGUAUUUUAAAGUUAAUUCUAAACUAAACUGGUAACAAGUGUAAAGAAACUAAAAUAGGUUUUAUAUGACAAAAACGAGGAGCACAACAAAUAAGCCUAGCUGCUGUGUUUCGUACUCUUUGCAGCUUAUUUAAAUGAGUGGCGGGAAGCCCAUAGAGAAGACUAUUGCAAUAAUCUAUUCUACCCAUUAUACCUAUGAUUUGUACUGAAGAUUUUUUUUCUAUCUAAAGGACUCGUGUGAUGAAUCAAGUGAUGAUGAAUCUGAUGCAAGCAGUGAUAACGAAGAUGAGAAAAAGCUGGAAGGUCUAUUUGGUAUUGCUGAUAUUCUUGACGAUCAAUUGAGGAUCCUUUUUGAUUCCCAUGCAUUCCAGGAAUCGAUUGAUAAAUCAAGUGAUGACGAAUCUGAUCCAAGCAGUGAUAACGAAGAUGAGAAUGUAACUCUCUACCACUACACCAAUGACAAUGGAGCUCAGGGUAUCAGUAAAGACAAAAUGAUUAAGGCUUCUACUGACAAAAAUAAUGAUGCAGUUUUUGAAGAAGGUGUCUAUUUGACUGCCAUGGAUCCUUACACCUACAGCAAAGAAGAAAUAAUACGCAAUAACUAUGACGAUGGCCUUUCCGUUCACAAAAGCACUCGAUUUCACGANAAGGCUGACAGUGCUAUUGAAGUUAGUAUUCCAGUGAGCGAGGUGUCCAAGGUCGAUAAUACUGAUCGCGAUGUCUACUUGUACGAUGGGCAUCUCAACCUUGAUGAAUAUGACCACUCCGUAUUGAAAAUUAAUUGACUCGUCAAGCAUGAAUCUUUGGGGUGCAACGAAAUAACUCAAAAUCCCUUAAGACUAUAAACAACAACCGCCAUCUAAGGAGACAAGCUAGUUAUGAGAAAUGAUUUGUUAUAGUCAACGAAACAACCAAAUAGCGACUAUGACACAACGUGCACUCCCGGAAAUUUUGGUAGAUCAAAACACGUUGAAGUAAUAAUAGGUCAUUUAGCUUAAAUCCUUUUUUCUCACUNUUUUCAAACUUAUUCAAUUCGUUUAAGAGUUAUGAUUAAUGUCUCCUAUCAAUAUAUAAUCAAAUCAAGCUAAGGCGCUUUAAGCCCCCUCUACACAAGCAAUUUUUAUGUGGCAAUUUCUAUGUGACAAUUUUCAUUUGCUCGUGUAGAUGACAAAAAUUGCGCGUUGGAAAGCUGGCGUCCUAGUUUUUAUGUGGCAAAUAAAAAUAGCCGCACACCGAAAAUUGACGAGACGACAUAUAAAUGUGGCAACUAUUUUGACGUCAUCUGCGCAUCUAAUUAAACAUGGCGGCUUCAGGAGAGAGAAGAAAAGAACGGCAAAUGAAACUUGAAACCAAAACCGGAAAAAAGUUUUGAAAUCCAUUAUGGUCUGUUUACCUCACUCUUUUACUAGAUUAUUAGCAAAUUCUUGAGCCUCUCUACGUAAUUGGGUUUUCCAGGGUUUUACCCCACAUUUUCUAAGUAUUUUUUGGUCUUUUCUAUUAGUGAUAAAAUAAGUGAUCACUGCAGCAGUAUUUCUAUUUCUUUUCUUUAUUUGCACCAUCUUCCUAAGUACCCUAGCCGGGCUUUCUUUCACAGGCAUCUUCGCUGUCCGAAAUUAUUACUGACUCAAAUUGAAACCAAAUAUUUGUCGAUCGCCUACAUGAGCAAUUAAAAGUUGCCACACAAAAAUUGCUCGUGUAGACGGAGCUUUACAAUUGAGUUGUGAAUAACUAAUUUGCAAAUGCUUCUAUGUAUUAAUAAACCGAACUAUCUAGGCAUGCAUAAUAUGUUCCUAUUCAAAAUCACGUGCUAUUCUCUUGAGAAUAAGGUUCUACUUUUCGUCAGAGUGGCUUUGAACAACAGGGCGCGGUUGUACAAAGCCUGGAUAGCGCUAUCCGGCGGAUAAAUCCUUAUCCAGUGGAUAAGUCGAUACUGUUAUCCAAUAAAUUUAUCCACUGGAUAAGAUUUAUCCGUUGAAUAGCGCUAUCCAGGCUUCGUACAACCCGGACCCAGGAACCACUAACUUAGGGACCAAUUUGAUAAUGCUUUUCUUUUUCCUCAGGAAUUUUGUUUUAGGCCCACCUAACAUUCAUUAGAUUUAUGUGCAAAUAUUAUAUUUUUGGAAAUUGUGAAAUUGAAUAAUUAAAAUUACUAUUUCUUGGUCGAAAUGACCAUAUGAGG
This 2514-nucleotide long non-coding RNA is filed under the name Actinia tenebrosa (Australian red waratah sea anemone). RNAcentral's name for it is "uncharacterized LOC116292443". Lineage: Eukaryota; Metazoa; Cnidaria; Anthozoa; Actiniaria; Actiniidae. The record is from RNAcentral.